AUUGAACGCUGGCGGCAGGCCUAACACAUGCAAGUCGAACGAGUGGCGGACGGGUGAGUAAUGUCUGGGAAACUGCCCGAUGGAGGGGGAUAACUACUGGAAACGGUAGCUAAUACCGCAUACCAUCGGAUGUGCCCAGAUGGGAUUAGCUAGUAGGUGGGGUAACGGCUCACCUAGGCGACGAUCCCUAGCUGGUCUGAGAGGAUGACCGGCCACAUGGGAACUGAGCAACGGUCCAGAUCCCUAGGGGAGGCAGAAGUGGGGAAUAUUGCACAAGGGGCGCAAGCCUGAUGCAGACAUGCCGCGUGUAUGAAGAAGGCCUUCGGGUGGUAAAGUACGUUCAGCGAGGAGGCGUUACUCGCAGAGGAAGCACCGGCUAACUCCGUGCCAGCAGCCGCGGUAAUUC
RNAcentral lists this ribosomal RNA (406 nucleotides) under uncultured bacterium. RNAcentral describes it as "partial 16S ribosomal RNA". It matches the Rfam family "Bacterial small subunit ribosomal RNA", at positions 29 to 526 of the family's 1533-position model. The record is from RNAcentral.